RNAcentral lists this unclassified non-coding RNA (439 nucleotides) under Hevea brasiliensis (rubber tree). The record is from RNAcentral. Lineage: Eukaryota; Viridiplantae; Streptophyta; Magnoliopsida; Malpighiales; Euphorbiaceae.
GGCAACCAUGCCAUCCAUCACAAGGUGUGCUCCUUAUCCCUGUCAUCAUGUCAUUCAAAAUGGUAUUUGUACUUUGCAUAAACAUGUUUUGAGUCUUUUCACUAUACACUAUAAUUUUUCGUAUUUAAAAUCAGACGCACUGGAUGCCUGCUCUUUACUUCAAAUGCUUCUUGUAUCCUUAGGAAGUCUAAUACCUAUUUUCUUUAAAAAUAUUAUGCCUUGGAUAUAUCUGAGUUUGAUAAUAUAUUCCACAAGAUUACAUUAAUAUUAGCAAGAAAGCCAUCUUGUCAUUUAUAUGACUCUGGCCAUCUUGUCAUUUGAAUGACUGUAGUUCUGUUCUUCCAUGGCACAAUGCUAAUAACAAGCUGGACUGUGAGUGAUCAUAUUAUUUAUCUUGCCAAAUUAUGGCUUUUGCAGCUAUUUGAGAAGAGGAUUGGGG